RNAcentral lists this ribosomal RNA (332 nucleotides) under uncultured bacterium. RNAcentral's name for it is "partial 16S ribosomal RNA". It matches the Rfam family "Bacterial small subunit ribosomal RNA", at positions 338 to 687 of the family's 1533-position model. The record is from RNAcentral.
CCUACGGGAGGCAGCAGUAGGGAAUAUUGCUCAAUGGGGGAAACCCUGAAGCAGCAACGCCGCGUGGAGGAUGAAGGUUUUCGGAUUGUAAACUCCUUUUGUUAGAGAAGAUAAUGACGGUAUCUAACGAAUAAGCACCGGCUAACUCCGUGCCAGCAGCCGCGGUAAUACGGAGGGUGCAAGCGUUACUCGGAAUCACUGGGCGUAAAGAGCGCGUAGGCGGGAUUGCAAGUCAGAUGUGAAAUCCUAUGGACUAACCAUAGGACUGCAUUUGAAACUGUUAUUCUAGAGUAUGGGAGAGGUUGGGUGAAUUCUUUGGGGAGGGGUAAAAU